AGAGUUUGAUCCUGGCUCAGGAUGAACGCUAGCGGCAGGCUUAAUACAUGCAAGUCGAGGGGUAUAAAGUAGCUUGCUAUUUAGAGACCGGCAAACGGGUGCGGAACACGUACACAAUCUAACCUUAUCUGGGGGAUAGCCCAUAGAAAUGUGGAUUAAUACCCCAUAGUAUUACGGAGUGGCAUCAUUUUGUAAUUAAAGAAUUUCGGAUAAGGAUGAGUGUGCGUCUGAUUAGGUAGUUGGCGGGGUAACGGCCCACCAAGCCGACGAUCAGUAGCUGAUGUGAGAGCAUGAUCAGCCACACGGGCACUGAGACACGGGCCCGACUCCUACGGGAGGCAGCAGUAAGGAAUAUUGGUCAAUGGACGGAAGUCUGAACCAGCCAUGCCGCGUGAAGGACGAAGGCGUUCUGCGUUGUAAACUUCUUUUAUCAGAGAAGAAACCACCGAUUUCUAUUGGUGUUGACGGUAUCUGAUGAAUAAGCACCGGCUAACUCCGUG
Molecule: ribosomal RNA, 500 nt
Filed under: uncultured bacterium
Lineage: Bacteria
Description: bacterial SSU rRNA
Rfam family: Bacterial small subunit ribosomal RNA
Source: RNAcentral